Hemicordylus capensis (graceful crag lizard) is the source of this 2088-nucleotide long non-coding RNA. RefSeq lists it as uncharacterized. The record is from RefSeq and is a predicted model, not a curated record. The transcript has 5 exons. NCBI's taxonomy places the organism in Eukaryota, Metazoa, Chordata, Lepidosauria, Squamata, Cordylidae.
UGUGAUUCAACAGCCUCUCCUCACUGUUAGAGAAGGUGAAGAGGCUCUGUAGCCACAAUUCUCCAUAAAUUCUGAAUGGUAGGAGCAUCACUACAGCCAUGACGCACUUCUUUGGAGCCAUGGAGACUUCUGCCUUCGCUAGCAGCAAGGACAGGCUGUUUGGUCACAUGGAACCAGAACACGCACACACCCGCUCUUGUAUUUGGCUGAUCUGACCUAAGUGGAAGGGCAGCAGCAGUGGCCAAAACAGCAGCUUCGCUCCCCUUCCUCUUCCACCCAACAUGCAUUCUGUCCUUCCUUAUCUAUCCAGUGUGAGGGCAAUAAGAGGAAGCAUUGCCUCACUCUGAACUGGUUAAUAUGCACUAUGUACAUCUCAGUGCCAAAUCCAUUUCUCAUUAUGACAUCGUCACAUUCACAGCAUGCUCCCUUAUUGGCUGGGCUCAUAUAGAGGAGGAGGCGGCGGCAAAAAAUGCUUCUGAAAUAUGGCAGUACCCCAGUAGGGCAGUGAGUAGUUGGUAGAACAGAUAUGAAAAAAAUUAGCAGUGUGUUUGUGAGAAGGAGAGCAUUUGCCACUAGAACUGGAGGGAAAUGUACAUUUUUAAAAAGAAGUUGUGAUACUGCCAAAGAUUAAGGAUGUGCAGAUUCCCUUUGUUAGCCUUACCAAAUAUUAUGUUUUUCUUGAAAUUCCUCAUAUAUUUUUUGUGAGUAAGAAUCAGUUUGUCACGGAGUUUCACUUUAGGCAGAACUCUAUUCCAGAACUCUAGUCCAAAAUCGUAUACAUUUUGCUCACAGCACUGAACAUUUAUUCAUCAGCCUCAAACUCUCAAGCAACAGGAUGCUUAGGGAAAGUGAGAAGAGGAUGACACCAAUAUUCUCUCUAAGGUGUGUGUGUGUGUGUGUACACAUGUUUUUGAUAUUUGCUUAGUUAAUUUUAGAUCCCACUCAGGUUGAUUCAGGAAGGAGGAAAUUGGAAGGAACAUUGGAUGACUCCCACAGUAUAACUUGACCAGCAACUGCAUUAUUGUUUUCUGCAUGGCACAGAUAAUCAGUUUGGCCAUCCAAAAUGGAAAGGGGAAGAAAAGAAAGGUUUGACACGCAGUGGCAAGCGUGUAAAAAUUACUACGUGCUUCCAAGAGACAAAGGUUGUGAAUAGCAAGUGCUGUCCACUGGGAGAAGCAACCACACUGUGAGUGGAGCACAAAGACGGCCGGCACAGGAAUACUGUCAGCUCCUCAAAGGAGGGACAGAAUUGUGUCGAAUGGCUUCGAUUCUGAGUUCGUAAUGUGUGGAGAUCCCCACUGAUGUCAUUGUUGUGAUCUGGACUGUGCACAAUGUGUGUGCAGUUUAACUCCUUCCCCUUGAAGGCAAAAGUCAUCUCAGGCACUGCAACCCCAUCUGUGCACCGGAGAUCCCACCCUUGAAAGAUAUUGCUGGGUCAAGGUGUGUCCUCAGGAAAUUCAGGACCACCUCACAUAUUUGAUAGAGCCAAGGGUAGGCGGAUGACGGCUGCUGAGAAAGGAAAGGGAUAAACCAGCCCAGGAAUUGUUCCUCCUUCCUUGAGUUGUCCUCCUGUCCCGCUUGGCAAUUGCUGAGGGAAAAGGAAGGAAGCAUGGCCACAAGGAGAGCUGAAAAGGAAACAAACAACCAUCGUCUGUUUUUUCUGUGAAUGUGAUUUCUUCCCCCAGAAGCCAAUGUGUUUUUUCUCCUUCCCACAAUUCUUUGCUGUGCCUCUUCCUUAUCCCCAAGCCCUUGUUUCUGCUUGUGUGAGAGAUUUUUUAGCUUUUAAAAAAUGAUUUGAAAUGAUUGAGUUCAUCCCAAUAGGUCCUGACCCAUGUGAUCUUCCCCUCAGAACCUGCAAUGGGUUGUUUUCUUCUCCAUGGAAAGAAAGUAGAAUGUAAGAGAGAGAGAGAGAGAGAGAGAGUGGGGUGGAGUUUAUUGGCUGGUCUGUCCUCAAACAAGUUCUCAAAAUGGUAUACAUAGCACAGAGAGAGAGAGAGAGAGAUUUUUUAACUUUAAAAAAAAUUUCAAAGCAGCACAACAAGGUGCCAAAUGUAAAAGAAAACUAUUCUCAUACAAACUUGUAAUAAA